CACAACGCGACUGGAGCACUCUCGGCCCCGUUCACCCCCCCCCUUUGGACCGGUGGGGGUUAUCCCGGUCCCCACCAGACAAGCAAACACCCACAAGGCACUCCUGGGCGACGACUGCCACGCGGCCUCAACAAAAUGGCCGAACGUGCUGUAACUGCCCCACAGGCCACUGGAGAAGAGCCGCGCAGACCGCGCCAACUGAGAACACCUUACCUCAGCCUCCUACUACCAAGACCGCAGACCAUCACUGGGGUAAGGCACUGAAAAGCUGUCCCCUUGAAAAGCUGUCCCCUUG
Pelobates cultripes (western spadefoot toad) is the source of this 295-nucleotide non-coding RNA. The record is from the annotation of a GenBank genome assembly. NCBI's taxonomy places the organism in Eukaryota, Metazoa, Chordata, Amphibia, Anura, Pelobatidae.